Molecule: ribosomal RNA, 324 nt
Filed under: uncultured eukaryote
Lineage: Eukaryota
Description: partial 18S ribosomal RNA
Rfam family: Eukaryotic small subunit ribosomal RNA
Source: RNAcentral
CCCUUAGAUGUUCUGGGCUGCACGCGCGCUACACUGAUGCGAUCAACAAGUUUUUCCUAUGUCGAUAGACACGGGUAAUCUUUUGAGCUCGCAUCGUGAUGGGGAUAGAUUAUUGUAAUUAUUAAUCUUCAACGAGGAAUUCCUAGUAGGUGCAAAUCAUCAGUUUGCAUCGAUUACGUCCCUGCCCUUUGUACACACCGCCCGUCGCUGCUACCGAUUGGUUGAUCUGGUGAAUUAUUCGGACUGCCGGCUGAAGGGGUUUCCUCAUCUGCCAGCGGAAAGUCUUGUUAACCCUAUCAACUAGAGGAAGCAGAAGUCGUAACA